CUUCUAACUCUUUUUCUAUUUUCGUCUCUAUAUAAUUCUUUAUGGUUUAAACCCUAAGCUCUUUUUCGAAGAGGAGUGGCCACACACUAAAGGGCCAAACCCUUUGUCCGUACACUCAACAUGGCUGCUCCUCCUUCACCUUCUUCUUCAUCUUUACAAUCUGAGGCUUAAUCUAUGAAGCCCCAGUACCAAUGAAAGAUGGUUUUUGAAAGCAACAUUAGCUUCUUGUUCUUCAUCUAUUGGUUCAAAAUUCAGUUUACCUCAAAUUUUGGGAUACAAAGCCAUGUCUCGUAAAGAACCAAAUAGCAGUUGCUUUCAGGAAAACACAUAUAGGGGUUUAUUUAAGAUGAAGAUGAAACUCUAAUUAGAAGCUAUGCACUACACAGAUCCUUAUAUUGAAGAACUAAGCAAUGACAACCCUUAAGAAGAUCUAUUGUUGAUGCUGAAAUGACCAAUGCACCUAAAAUCUCAGGGCUUCAGUGUAACCUAUCUUGUACUCCAUGGCAGUUUUACAAGUGUGCUUCACUUAGAAUCUAUGUUCUUGUAGCUGCUGAAGAGAGUUCCCCUUGGAAACUUCAAAAUCUGUCACUGUUUUAAUACUAUACUAAAAGCUUUGUUUGUAGUAGUAAGUCUAAGUUUUUAUACUCUAUGGUUGAAAUGCUACCUUUGAACUUUUUUAUCUCCUUGUUGCUGUUUGGAGCAGCAUAUUGUAUUAAGUUCUGAUGGCGUGAGUUAUAUAGAAAGUGAGAGUUUGCUUGCCUAUGUAUAAGAAUACCAUAUGUUGAGUUAUAUGGUUUUUUACAAUUUCACUUCC
Molecule: long non-coding RNA, 814 nt
Organism: Vigna radiata var. radiata (mung bean)
Lineage: Eukaryota; Viridiplantae; Streptophyta; Magnoliopsida; Fabales; Fabaceae
Exons: 3
Source: RefSeq, a predicted model, not a curated record